UCGCGUAUUAAAACUGCAAUACACUUGUAAUCUAGCCAAUAGUUGUUUUCGGUUUCACUCGUACACACACGCCCCGUAGCAGCAGUAAGAUAAAAAUAAGAGGAAACCUGAUUUCUUGCGUUUACAUCGAAAACAUGUGCAAAUGCGUUAGCAUUUAGCAUUAGCGGCACCGCCGCAAGAACUUGACACAAAAGGCUGUGCAUCCCCAAAGGCACACUUUCUUUUGGAAUAAUGCAGGGAUCACCUCCAGGUGACUGACUGUUUGUGACAGUUGGGGAGAUGUUAAGAUGGAAAAUCCUCUUAGAAUGGCUUCACCAGCUAUCUACAUCAACAGAGGAGAAAAUGCUCUGUUCCAUCUUGUGAAGUGAUCAUGAAGUGGUAGUCUUCAAGUUUCAGUAGAGCUUGGCACUCCAGGGCUGAAAUGAUUCUAGUGAAGGUGUAUGGAGUUUAAAGAGCCCAUAUUAUUGCUAUUAUUAUGCUAUUAUGCCAUGAUUUAUGUUAAAAUGCUAUUUCCUCAUCACAAACAAUGUCUGACACAAAAAAGAGCAUAUUAUGGCUGUUCUUCUCUCAAACUGAAAACAUUCUGUUCCACCUUGUGAUGUCCACUGUGUUUUUAAAGUCCAUACACCUUCACUAGAAUCAUUUGGAUCAUUUCAGCGAUGGAACUGCCUAUUUCUACUGAACUAAAGGUAAAAGGUAUAGUUGUUAAUUUGAAAACUACCACUGUAUGACAUCACAAGGUGGAACAGAGUGUUUUCAGUUUGAGAAGAACUCUUAGAGUAAAUAUUUAGGGUUUGUGUGUGAAUGAAACAAAACACAAAUCCAUGUAUGUUUUUGAUGAGGAAACAAUAUUGUAAGAGAUCAGAAAA
This is a long non-coding RNA of Boleophthalmus pectinirostris (great blue-spotted mudskipper), 869 nucleotides long. RefSeq lists it as uncharacterized. The record is from RefSeq and is a predicted model, not a curated record. Lineage: Eukaryota; Metazoa; Chordata; Actinopteri; Gobiiformes; Gobiidae. The transcript is spliced from 3 exons.